UUGGAAGGGGAAGUCGUACCAGGGUUCCCGUGGGGGAACCUGCGGAAGGAUCAUGU
RNAcentral lists this ribosomal RNA (56 nucleotides) under Coronidium lanuginosum. RNAcentral describes it as "partial 18S ribosomal RNA". The record is from RNAcentral. Lineage: Eukaryota; Viridiplantae; Streptophyta; Magnoliopsida; Asterales; Asteraceae.